GGCUUGGGCGGAUAUAAACCGAGCUUAUCGGAUAUUGAGACCCGGUGGAGUAAUUUUUGGGCACGAUUAUUUCACCGGUGCUGAUAAUAGAGGCGUAAGAAGAGCUGUUAACUUGUUUGCUCAAAUGAAUGGGCUUCAAAUUCAAACGGAUGGCCAACAUUGGGUGAUCGAUUCUCCUUCUAGUCCUAUAUCCUAAUUAGGGACUGGUGUUACCGCUGUCAAUUGAGUAAAUUUUACCAGUCAUGUGCAGUACGUCGAGGAAGAAGACCAUAG
This 273-nucleotide unclassified non-coding RNA is filed under the name Hevea brasiliensis (rubber tree). The record is from RNAcentral. Lineage: Eukaryota; Viridiplantae; Streptophyta; Magnoliopsida; Malpighiales; Euphorbiaceae.